GAUUGAUUCAAUAAACUACUGGAAAAUCUAGAAUACAAUGUCUACUGCCUUUUAAAAAAAUUUUUUUUAUUUAUUUGAGAGGGAGAGAGAGAAAGUACGAGCACAGAGGGAGAGUGAGAGGGAGAAGCAGACUCCCCGCUGAGCAGAGAGCCUGAGGUGGGGCUCUAUCUCAGGACCCUGAGAUCAUGACCUGAGCUGAAGGCUUAACAGACUGAGCCACCCAGGUGCCCCUGUCUACUGCCUUUUUAAAAAAAUGUGCUUAUUGAUCCUCCUUAAAGAAUGUAGAGUUUUAGAACUGAAGAGAAACCUAGUCAUCAUCUAGCACUAUUUCACUUCAUUUGGUAGUUGAGGAAGAGGGAACUCAGAGGGUCUGUAACUUGUACAAGCCACAGACCUAAUUGGACUUGAACUCAGUCUAGAGUGGCUUCUCCUUCCCUGAUAUCAUGAUAUCAGCACUAUUAACAGACUAGUGUAGUAUGAUUUUUAUAUUAAUUCAAAGAACUCUUAUUGCCUCUAGCCUCACAUGUUCUACUUUUUAAAAUGUACUUACUGGUCUUGUACGUCUCAAUAGAUUCCAACAGUUUCUCAGGAUGAAAAACCACUCCCUGGUCUGUAGAGGCCCACGUGUCUUCUGGAGUCCUGCCUCCCAGACUGUCAUUCAGGAACUACUGAGAACAGACAUGGAAUGUUCUAGUACCUUUAGUGAUGAGUAUGAGAAUCAUGUAGAAACACGCAACAAUCCAUUCAAAGUUGCUGGGGGUCACCAGUGGCUUGCUGGUGAUUGAUCUGGAAGCCUUGCUGAGUGGAUUGUGGGUCUGGCAGUCAUCAUCAUGGAAAGUGACCACCGGCGUCUCUCUCCCUCUAAGACUUGAAGUU
Mirounga angustirostris (Northern elephant seal) is the source of this 876-nucleotide long non-coding RNA. RefSeq lists it as uncharacterized. The record is from RefSeq and is a predicted model, not a curated record. NCBI's taxonomy places the organism in Eukaryota, Metazoa, Chordata, Mammalia, Carnivora, Phocidae. The transcript is spliced from 3 exons.